Vicugna pacos (alpaca) is the source of this 100-nucleotide non-coding RNA. NCBI's taxonomy places the organism in Eukaryota, Metazoa, Chordata, Mammalia, Artiodactyla, Camelidae. The record is from RefSeq and is a predicted model, not a curated record.
CGAUGCUCUUCGGAUCACUUUUUAAGACUGGAAUCCCAUUUUUAAAUGGAUAACAGCUAAGAGGCUACUGGCAAUCUGUUUAUUUCCAAAGCUGUGUUUU